RNAcentral lists this ribosomal RNA (497 nucleotides) under uncultured bacterium. RNAcentral describes it as "partial 16S ribosomal RNA". It matches the Rfam family "Bacterial small subunit ribosomal RNA", at positions 29 to 523 of the family's 1533-position model. The record is from RNAcentral.
UUGAACGCUGGCGGCAGGCCUAACACAUGCAAGUCGAGCGGCAGCGCGGGGCAACCUGGCGGCGAGCGGCGAACGGGUGAGUAACGCGUAGGAAUCUACCCAGUAGCGGGGGAUAGCCCGGGGAAACUCGGAUUAAUACCGCAUACGCCCUAAGGGGGAAAGCAGGGGAUCUUCGGACCUUGCACUAUUGGAAGAGCCUGCGUUGGAUUAGCUAGUUGGUAGGGUAAAGGCCUACCAAGGCGACGAUCCAUAGCUGGUCUGAGAGGAUGAUCAGCCACACCGGAACUGGGACACGGUCCGGACUCCUACGGGAGGCAGAGGUGGGGAAUAUUGGACAAUGGGGGCAACCCUGAUCCAGCCAUGCCGCGUGUGUGAAGAAGGCCUUCGGGUUGUAAAGCACUUUAAGUGGGGAGAAAGGCUCGGCAGCUAAUAUCUGCCGGGAUUGAUGCUACCCACAGAAUAAGCACCGGCUAACUCUGUGCCAGCCGCCGCCGUAA